GCCGCUGUAGCUCAGUUGGUAGAGCAACGCUUUCGUAAAGCGUGGGUCGUCGGUUCAAGUCCGGCCAGCGGCU
This 73-nucleotide transfer RNA is filed under the name Candidatus Synechococcus spongiarum. It matches the Rfam family "tRNA". Rfam says of the family: Transfer RNA (tRNA) molecules are approximately 80 nucleotides in length. Lineage: Bacteria; Bacillati; Cyanobacteriota; Cyanophyceae; Synechococcales; Synechococcaceae. The record is from Rfam by way of RNAcentral.